CUUGCAUCUUCAGACGCAUUUCAUGCCAUGUUUGAUGGAGGUUAUAGGAAAAGAUAGAGGAUAGAAGUAAUGGAAAUGUUGCAGUUGAUUCGUAUCGUCGCCACAAGGUAUAUGUAUUGCCGAUUCAAAGUUUUUGUUUCUUUUGAUAUAAUUUAUCAACUCUCAUCACUAAUAAAAAAUAAUGCUGAAAGGUUAUUAGAUAUAUUUGCG
RNAcentral lists this small RNA (210 nucleotides) under Vigna angularis var. angularis. RNAcentral's name for it is "Non-protein coding transcript". Lineage: Eukaryota; Viridiplantae; Streptophyta; Magnoliopsida; Fabales; Fabaceae. The record is from RNAcentral.